AGGGAAUAUUGCACAAUGGGCGCAAGCCUGAUGCAGCAACGCCGCGUGCGCGAUGAAGGCCUUCGGGUCGUAAACUCCUUUUCUUGGGGAAGAGGUAGGACGGUACCCGGGGAAUAAGUCACGGCUAACUACGUGCCAGCAGCCGCGGUAAUACGUAGGUGGCGAGCGUUAUCCGGAAUUAUUGGGCGUAAAGCGCACGCAGGCGGCUUUUUAAGUUUGACGUGAAAACUCCUAGCUUAACUGGGAGAGGACGUUGAAGACUGGGAGGCUUGAGGUAAUGAGAGGGGUGCGGAAUUCCCGGUGUAGUGGUGGAAUGCGUAGAUAUCGGGAGGAACACCAGUGGCGAAAGCGGCACCCUGGCAUUGACCUGACGCUCAGGUGCGAAAGCGUGGGGAGCGAACGGGAUUAGAUACCCCGGUAGUCCACGCCGUAAACGAUGAACACUAGGUGUAGGUGGUGUUAAAACUGUCUGUGCCGAAGCCAACGCGCUAAGUGUUCCGCCUGGGGAGUACGGCCGCAAGGCUA
RNAcentral lists this ribosomal RNA (525 nucleotides) under uncultured Chloroflexota bacterium. RNAcentral describes it as "bacterial SSU rRNA". It matches the Rfam family "Bacterial small subunit ribosomal RNA", at positions 356 to 896 of the family's 1533-position model. The record is from RNAcentral. Lineage: Bacteria; Bacillati; Chloroflexota.